AGAGGAGAAAUAUGAGAUAUAAAUAUUCUGACUCAUGUAAUGAUGCAUUUUAGUUUUGGCAGCAUACAACUAGUUCAAUCAUUCUGAAAUCUAACACUUGGCCAGAGUGCAAAACGGAGAGCAUUGGUGCCACCAAGAAAAAAAAGGUCCAAGAUCCAAGGUUUGGUUCAACCCCCAACUUUAAAAGAACCUGAGCCAUAACAACUCUUUUUAUGCCUAUCUCUACACAACUAACACAAAAAAACUAUAAACUAUUGAUAAAAAAACGUAUUUGAUAUAAUCAUUGCGAACUUUCGUGAACAAACGAGCAAUAUCAUUGUGACUGAAAUCAACAGUGAUGGAAAACAACAGGUCAAACCUCUCUUCCAAGUCCGGGCUUCAAACGCGGUUCUCACAAUCGGCCAGAAACAGAGCUGGUCGUACUAACGCCACCACGCCCAUUCCACCUUUAAUCACAAGCAGAUCUAGGCUCACAAAUCGAACGCCCACAACAACAAUCCCCGGACGAAGCAACACCUCCAGGCAGAUUAUCCCAUCAGCGCCAAAUAGUGGCAAUGUGGGCCGUCAAUUGCCCGCAAGAUCACCACGUAAUGCUGAGGCAAGGAGGAACAGCACCCGUGGGAUGACCACCACAUCCGUUGCCAAUGGUUAUAUUGGUCAUCCUCACAACUGUCCCAUAGACCUCAAUAGGCCUCGGCCAGGAGUUGCAGGCACCAAACACAAGAAAAAAUAGAGCUGCACACCCACAACUCAUAAAACGAAGUAUGGACGGGAAAGAUUACUACAGAUACCAUCCAAAGGGGUUUGGGCUGGUUGAAAACGUUCAAGUACCUACAUGUGCUCCGCCGAAGACAAUAAACAGACGAUGAAAAACAAGACGA
Tigriopus californicus is the source of this 881-nucleotide long non-coding RNA. RefSeq lists it as uncharacterized. The transcript is spliced from 2 exons. The record is from RefSeq and is a predicted model, not a curated record. NCBI's taxonomy places the organism in Eukaryota, Metazoa, Arthropoda, Copepoda, Harpacticoida, Harpacticidae.